This 207-nucleotide long non-coding RNA is filed under the name Musa acuminata (dwarf banana). RNAcentral's name for it is "long non-coding RNA (MACU_LNC010287)". Lineage: Eukaryota; Viridiplantae; Streptophyta; Magnoliopsida; Zingiberales; Musaceae. The record is from RNAcentral.
UGAGCUGUAUUGGCUACGAGAAUAUCUUGGGUUAUAAGGAAGACCAGAAGCCAAAGGUAUAGGGGAUGCUGUGCGAGGAAAGGAAAGGCGGAGUCAAACUCUCACUAAUAAGGUAUUGUAUUGAAGCCGGGAGCAGAAGAGUCUAGGGUUCAUACAAGGUUGAAAGCUCAGUAGUAAGGCUCGGUGGACUAAUGAAGUAGGGCUUGU